GAUGAACGCUGGCGGCGUGCCUAAUACAUGCCAGUCGAGCGAACGGACGAGAAUCUUGCUUCUCUGAUGUUAGCGGCGGACGAGUGAGUAACACGUGGAUAACCUACCUAUAAGACUGGGAUAACUUCGGGAACCCGGAGCUAACACCGGAUAAUAUUUUGAACCGCAUGGUUCAAAAGUGAAAGACGGACUUGCUGUCACUUAUAGAUGUAUCCGCGCUGCAUUAGCUAGUUGGUAGGGUAACGGCUUACCAAGGCAACGAUGCAUAGCCGACCUGAGAGGGUGAUCAGCCACACUGGAACUGAGACACGGUCCAGACUCCUACGGGAGGCAGCAGUAGGGAAUCUUCCGCAAUGGGCGAAAGCCUGACGGAGCAACGCCGCGUGAGUGAUGAAGGUCUUCGGAUCGUAAAACUCUGUUAGUAGGGAAGAACAUAUGUGUAAGUAACUGUGCACAUCUUGACGGUACCUAAUCAGAAAGCAACGGCUAACUACGUG
This 497-nucleotide ribosomal RNA is filed under the name uncultured bacterium. RNAcentral describes it as "partial 16S ribosomal RNA". It matches the Rfam family "Bacterial small subunit ribosomal RNA", at positions 28 to 507 of the family's 1533-position model. The record is from RNAcentral.